GACGUGGAGGGUGGUGGGCAGAGGGAGGAGCUGAAUGAGGGGUGGGGGUGGGGGCUGGAACUGGGUGUGCACAAUGGGAGGGGCUUCGCAGAGCCUGGGGACACUGGAAACUGCUUUUCGCUUGGCAAGCCCCAAGCCGUGAGACGUGCCUAGAGACUGGCCUGACAGUGGUGAUAGGCAGGGUGGUGGGGACUUGGCAACAGGGAGGGGUCCCCAAGAUCACUGUCAGUCUGAGCACGGCCCAUCAGUACCUGCUGUGUGACUCUGGACACUUGCAUCCCCUCUCUGACCCUCGAUGGAAAAGUCUGUAGUUUUCUCAAAGCAAAGCAGCUGGAUGAAUUUGAGAGUACUGUGCUCAAAGCACCCAGCGGGGAACCUGGGACAGGGCGAGCACCCGCCGGACUUCCCAGAGAACCUCAGGUUUUGGGGUGGUGCUUCACAUUCGCACGCCCACAACGUGAGCUUAAGGUGGCUACAGGAGCACCGCCGGCCACCUCCAAGAUGCCUCCUCUCACACUACCAGGAAUCCUGCAGGGACAGCGAUGGCCCGGUCACCCUGUCACCCUGUCUACGCCCGCGGGGUCACCAAAGCCACCCGCCGCGUCCUGGACCCUCCGGCGCCGCCAACAAUUUGUCUCUUUCUCCUCUGUAAACAAAUGUCAGGAAAAUAAAUAGUUUUUAACGGGCUCAUUAAUUGAGUUCAGGAAGGAGCCCCUCCCCCAGGCUCCAGCGGUGCAGUCGGCAGGACGGGAGAGGGAACACGGGAGGAGGGACAGGGAGAGGGGAGGACACAGGAGAGGGGCCACGGGAGGGGGGACGCCGGAGGAGGGACACGGGAGAGGGGACGCGGGAGAGGUGAGGACAGUGGAGAGGGGACACGGGAGGGGGGAACACGGGAGGGGGAACACUGAAGGAGGGACACAGGAAGAACACGGGAGGAAGAUGAAAGGGGGACAUGGAAGACGGGCCGGGUGGGGGGCGCUAAGGGAAACAGGAAGGGGUGGGAACACGUGAGGGGUGGGAGUUUCCCCAUGCUGCCUGAUGUCACAGAACCCCGGUGCCAUCUCUUCUUCCUCCUACUGGAGAAACUGAGGCUGCAGUCCAUAAAACAUUCCAGGGCCUUGAAUCUGGAGCCUUGUUCAUGUGACUCCCAGAGCCCCACCUGAACCUGGAGCUCGUAGAUUGGGUGCGCUAUGGCCCCUCCCCCAUUCCCAGCGCUCUGGUCAUAGGGUCACGAGGUCACCAGGUCACAGGGCAGCACCUCAAUGUUGACCCCUCAGGCACUGGAUAGCUCCACUCUGGGCCAGAUGCCACCGAGUGCAGCUGAGAGAAGUCACAUGAGCACCUAAGGCCGCACAGCAAUACCCCUGCACCUGCUUUCAUGGCCCUUGGCCAAGGCCAGAAGGGCACCAGGACGAUGACAGCCCAGACUUACACCCCUCGCUCGGAAAAGGUCAUGAGGCCGCAUGGCCAGGGAGAUGUGGAAGAUGCCCUGGGAAUCCCAGCUGCUGGAAAAGCAUACUGACCAGAGACACUUAGCAACUGUCCCAAGAUCACACAGCUAGAGGGAACAAAAUCCAACUACUGGGCUCUUGUCCAAAGAGGAAAGAGGACUCUGCGGGCUGCAUGGAAUCGCCGAAAACCACUUUGUGCAGGACUCAAAGGCCCCAGCCUUCCAAUACUCUCCCCUUCCUUGUGCAUCAGUUUCUCCACCUGCAAGACACAGGCUCCACUCAAGGGGCUCUGGAACCCUGGUGCCCAUGGCUCCCUGAGAGCUGAUCCUCGGACACAGGGUUGAUGGUUUUGCCAUCUGUGUGUCCAUGGAAAAGUCGCUAACCUUCUCUGUGCAGGGCCUUAUCUCUCUGUGGCCUUGGUGCCUGUACCAGGGCUCACCGGAAUGUGAAGGACACGGUAGCCCAGGCUCCUGGCACCCCCAACCACUUGUCACCAGCUGUCCCCCAGUCAUUGAAGGAUCCCUGGGAUAAUGUAGACACAACACACUGACAGCUGGGGAAACUUGGGGACAGGCAUGACUCCUGUGUAGAUGUGUCCUGGCUUGUGGAGGGCCGUGCUGAGGAGGGGGGCCACCUCCAGACUUCAGAGUUUUUGUUCGCUCCAUUAGGUCCUCUGGAAGCUAGAGACCAGGGGACUGGAGUAAAAUGCCCAAUUUCAUGCCAAUGGGGGGGGGGGUGACAUGUGACACAAAUUGAGUACUGGUGACAUAGAUGACAUGUAGCUCAGGCUAGCCUCAACUGCAGCCCCCCCCCCCCCAUGUAGCCCAGGAUGACCUUGAACUCCUGAUCCUCCUGCCUCAACCUCCUGGGUACUGGAAUGACAUCGACCACUGAGAAGCUGCUCUUUCUGUGGCUUCCUGACUCAGUUUCCCCCUUUUAACUACUGGUAGGUUCCAAGCCUCCUCUACUGCACUGGGCCAGCUGACUCCACACUGCUUGGUGUAGCCUCAGGGACAUCCUCUCCCUCUCUGGGCCAUCCCUCCCAGACCCUUUCCUCAGAUCUGCUGUCCCUUCUAACACUGGAGAAUUCUGGGAAAAUGGCUGAGUGUUUCCUCUUUGAACUUUUUAAAAUCAACUUUUUAUUUUAUCCAUUUUAGCGACUGUGGCUUCCAGCGUGUGGCCACAAGCGCUUACCCGCUGAGCCCUUUUGUUGACCCCCCUUUCUGGAUGUGAUAGUCCGGGCUAGCCUCACACCUCUGAGCCUCCCAUCUAAGGAGCUGUAGGCAAGCCGUCCUUCCAGAACUCUGGGAAUCCCAGAGCCCCGCGGAGGUCAUUCCCGCCCACCUUGGGCCCCUAACCGCCCCGCAAAAGUGGGGCAGCCUGGUUAGGCAGCCAGCGGCGGGGAACGCCCCAGUUUGCAGCGCUGAGUCAUCCACUGCUCUGGAGGGGCUGGAGAUGAGGCUGGGGGAUGCCAGACUCAACAAGAACUCUCAUGCAAAACUCAGUAACAAACCUCAAGGCAGCAGGACACCCCGUGGUCCUAACCGCUGAGCGCCCAAUGUAUACAUUCCCGAUAAACCCCGGGGUGGGUACUGUCUCUUUUAUUCACAGAGGUGGGGAAAACACAACAGCACAGAGAAGUCGAGCUGUCCCUAGACCACAGCCAGCAAGCCGCAGACAUGGGAUUUGAACCUUUGCACGGUCCCUUCUCUAAUUCCCAGAGUAUCACUCUCGUGCUGCGUGACGGGAACACGGGGAUCCUCUCUGGGCCUCCGUCUGGUGUAAGCACGGGCCACCACACCGCACAUCCUUUUAUUUGCUAAUCAAGGGGUUAAUUAUCAGCUGAAUUCGAUUAAACACCCACAGGCGUGGGGCGCACAGGGAAACAACCCCACGGAGGCGACAUCCGAUCCCGCCCGCGCGAGGUCACGGAGUGGCUUCCCCCUGGGCAGCCUGGGACAGAUAAGGUGGCAGCGAGCUGAGACAGCGUAGUCUGGAAACGCAGCAGGGGUGGCACAGCAGAGCACCGGGGGAACAGUGAGGUCACCCUAAAGCAAAAGGGAUCUCCCAAAAGGGGGGAGGGGCUUGAGUCAGCUCCAAGGAAGCGGGUAAAGACUGAGUGCAGGGCACGGACCAUAGAAGCCCUCUCAACUACAGGUCCCACGGAGAAAUGCGCCGCAGCUCCGCCAGGCGGAGUGGAGGGGGCGGGGCAGGGCAGAAGGAAGAAGAAAAGACUAAAUUAAAGCGGAGUCGCCUGUCGCCUGAACGCAUGGAAGAUGACACGACACCUCGGGGCGUCAGAGACAAGGCGCUAUUUUUUUUUUUAUAUGUAAGAAAAACAGGGAAGCCACACAUGGCCCCGGAGAUCAAGAUGGGGCGACCCUGACAUCACUGUCGUGCUGUGCGACCUCAGACAAAAUUGCCCUCUCUGGUCACUCUUCGCAAACCCCAGCUCCUAAUCCCAAAGGUCAAAGAGCCCCCUGCGCCUCACACGCAGGUCCCCCAAUUCGUGGUCCUCGCUCCCCGGCUGCUCUAUUCUCCCCCCAGCAGCCCCUUCUUCCCCGCCCCGCAGCCCUGGCUCCCCCAGUAGUCCUGCCCCUCCCCCCAGCCCCGCUGUCCCGAUUUCAGGGGAGACUCUGCCCCUGUUGGUGCGUCCGGGGUCUUCGUUGAGGACCCUCCGGUGGAUCUUGAUCGUAGUGUGGCUGUCCACCAAGUGCAGCCUCCCCCACGACCCCCAGCACCGGCCACAGAGGACAGAGGAAGGGCGGCCUCCUCCUCACGAGGCUUCUAGUUUCUGGGACGUCAGGUGCAAGGGAGAGGAAGUGGCGGGGACCUUUCCUCAUCCAAACGCUGGACCAGAGAGGACUAGAGAUGAGCUCUGGGAUGCACAGCAGACGGAGAACAGUCCUAUCUUAGGCACAUAUCUCUCCCUCACGAGGGUCCUCGGUUGAGGGACACCCCAAAAAGGAAACCACAACCACGCAACAUUCUACUAUCCCAACCAGAUUCCAAGACUCUCCCCUCCGGCUAAGUCACAAGCAGACGAGUGGGGCUCAGGACGACAGACAGGGCUCAGCGCUGCUAGGUGUCCCCCGACCCGGCGGGUUUAUAAAUAUCUAUCUUUAUUUUUAGGCUUUUCCUCUGGCUCGCCCCCACCCCGAACUUUCUCGAUGCUCCCUCCUUUCCCCCACGCGGCGGCUGAGACACAGGGAACAGGUGAGCGCGGGGCCAGCGCGACAGGGCCACGCGGCAGGUGGGGACAUCAGCGAAGCCACAGGUCCGCGGACACCGAGAGACACACAGAGUCAACGCAGCAGGGGAAACUGAGUCACCAAGAGGCACUUGGCCGCCUUUGAGUCCACGAGGGACACGAGGACACCCCGACUUCCUGGGGUAGAGACAAGGGCCCCAGAGGCUCUGAGACUAAUCCAGUGUGCGGAGGGUCACGGCCACACUGCAGCGUGGGGACCGUGGAUGUGGGGUCCCCUUCUGUGAACCUGCCACACACCAAGAGCCCCCAAUCCCAUGGGACCCGCGGACAGACCUCAGCCUUCCUGGCCACACCCGGUCGGCAUCGCUGUCCCCUGCGGGCGCCGCCCCAAGACUGGCACCUGGCCACAGCCCCCCAAUCCUCCGGGGACACGGAUGUCACCCUCCAGGGCGCGAUACCGGCCGCAGAGCUCGCCUGGAAGCCCGGGCUCCCGCGACGGUUCGUUCGCCCUGAGCCCAAUUAGGAGGAUGCUCAGGGCAAUCUCAGUGGCGGGUGGCUGGUUUCCCCCGGGGGACUGGGGGUGGGAGAGCCAUCCCCAAGAAGAAAUGCAAUGUCAUGGUGAGGGUGUGUCCCCCCCAUACUCCUUGGGGCCCCACAAGGGACAGGACGGGAGUUUGUGGGUCUCUGGAGACCCAGGCGCGAUGGGCAGGGAGACGGACCGGAGGCCAGGCACAGACAUUAUCUGGGACCUAAGUGUCCCCCCACUGUUCCGAGCUGGGGACUCUGAGGUUGGUCGGGGCGGGAAGCCGCCCCCAGCUCCAGCUGCCCGCCUGCAGCCGCCAAGAAAUCAGCUGGCAGAAGGCAGGAGCAGGGACAGAAGGCAGCUGGAGAUUGACAGGGGGAGGGACACAAAGAAAGGAGAAAAGACCGGGCAGGGGGGAGGGGAGUCUAUGCAAAUGGCAGCUCCCACUACCCGGCCUUUAAUGAAGGAAGGAGUCGCAGCUGGCAAGAGAGGCCAGAGCCCGAGUAGGAGGGUCCCAGGCUAGCCCAGACAAAGCAGACGGCCGUUAUCUGCACCAUAGAGACAGCAGCACCCCCCGGGGGGUACAGAAGCCAGGACCCAGGAUCCAGGUGCAGAAAGAUGGGUGAACAGGAUGUGUCCACCAAUCUAACACCCUCGGGAUCCCUCUUGCUCUGUAGAAGACUCUUUGGAUCCCCGAGUGCCCAUCCAGGCUUGGGACACCUCAGAGGUCUCCAUAAUCCGAUUACGGCUGCAGCCCGGACCCCCUUCGGAGCACAAAGGCGGAGAAGCUUGGAAGCACAAAGCCGGCGCCGCCCACCCCGCCCCCUGUGUCCCCCGUGCGCCCCGUGCACCCCGGUACCUGCGGGCUCCGCAUGCUGCUCCCGGCACCGGGUCGGCCCGGGCUCCGGCGGCUCCGCGUGUGCGCGCGGCCCGAGCUGCCUGGCGGGCGGGGCAAAACCCCACUGCGGCUCGCGCGCCCCCAGCCGGUGACGUCACCCCUUCCGCCGCCGCGGCCCUGGGGCCUGGCCGUGUACAGUACUGCGCCUGCGCGCAGAUGCCUGCCCAGUGAGGAGGCGCUGCUGGGUCACGUGCUUCAGGAGCCUGUAGAAGGCCCGGGGAGCACGUGGGACGUGGGACACGUGGCCCGGCCUGUCUCCUCUGGAUUCCUUUUAAACUCAAGUUCUGUUGUAGCCCAUGCUGGCCUCAAGUUACACUGAGGAUGACCUGAGCCUCCUGCCUGUCUCCCCACUCUGCUUUCUUUGGCCAAAAUAUCCUUUCCCUAAAAUCUUUCCCAUCAAGCCCGCCUUGCUGGCUGAAGAGGCUGAAGCAGGAGGACGUCGUUUUUGAACAGCCUGGGAUAACAAUGAAUUCGAGACCAGCUUGGGAAAAGGAGGAUGAGCUGGGCAUUAAAAAAAAUUUUUUAAAAGUGGGGGUGGGGCUCAAAAUGGCUCGGCAAAUAGAGGUGUUUGCAGCCCAAGCCAGAGAACCUGACUUCAAUCCCCAAAGUCCCAUAGUGGAAGGAGGAAUCUGACUCCUAUGGCGCUGACCUCCACAUGUAUGCACACACCCAUGUCCACUGAGUUACUAGACAUGCCAAACAGAUGAAAUGCAGCAAAAGACUGAAAAACACCUUAAAGAAAAGAGUAGUCACAGGCAUGGGGUGCGAAACUUUUAGACAGCAGCAGGAGAAUUGCUGCAAGUGUGAGUCGAGUGUGGACUGCACCUGAGACCCUGCCUCAAAUAACGAAACGAUUUUGUUUUACAGUCUGGGUUUUUUUCCCCUCUGGAAUUCAUUCAUUCCGGCCCAGAGCUGGAGACAUGAGCAAGAGCCUGGAGCCGAAGAGUCCGGGCGGAAGGACUGGGUCAUAAACGGGGAAGAGUGCCAUGAAUAAUUGACAAGGAGCCUAAAUUAAGAACAGGGCUUCCCAGAGCCUGCACCGCGGCCAGUUUAGCAGAGACGGCUUUGUCCUCUUGCCUGACUGGGGUGACCCUGAUUGACGUACGUGGUGCUAGUCGAGAUUGGAGCACGUAGAAGGUGCCGGAGGUUUGCAUAGUGUUCAGGGGCCCUUAGUGUAGUUUCUCUCAUGCACAGCAGGUACUUGAAGUUUGGGUACUCUGUGGAGAUGUCCACAUCCUUGCAUAGUCCCUGCAGGUGUAUGGCACUGUUGGCUGCACACAGUGUGUACUCAUAUAUUAUGGAGCUGGGUGCUGGCAGGACUGGCCAUGCCAGAGCAGACUGGCCAUCCAUCAGGGAGGGAACCAGGCCUUGCCUUGUUUGUCCGAACUGAGUAACCGCUUCUGCCCCCUGGGUCCUCGUGAGCAGCGAAGGGGAACAUGUAAACCGCGGGUCUGAGAGUCUGGAAGCUUCCAGUGGCCAUUCAUCCCCUCUCAGAUCCCCGCUGUGUUAAAUGCCAUUUACACAGAAGUAACAAAACAGAACAAUCGGCCUGCAGCUGACAGAGCAUAGACAGGCAACAAUAUAUCAACCCAAAGCCGGUUAUGUGUUCAGCCACUUAGGGCGGCCAUCGCUACCUCUGCUUCAGUCACAGCAGACUCCUGCUCCUCCUUUGCCCCUACUCCUCCCACACAGGUUCCGGCCUGCCCCAGGGCCCUGGUACAUGCUGGUCCUCAGCCUAGUGAGAUGUUCCUUUCGCUGCUCAGAGACGACCAUUCCCAGAACCACUUCCUGGCAGACUGUUCCCAAUAUUGUGCUGAAGAGGUAUUCUCACAGUCAGAAAUGCUAUGACCCUCCGUUUGCUUCUCAUGACGCAGGCUCCUUGCUCGGGUUGUGCCUCGAUGUCCUGUCUCUGUGUGGCAACAGCUGAUGACUUAGGGCUGUAGGAAGAGUGAGGGUCAAGAGGCAGUUUCUGUUCAUAGAAACCACUUUGCCACCUCCAAGGAGAGCAUUAAAAGAGUUGUUGGCUGUCCUUGUCUGUACAGGACUGAGAAGCCUUGCCAGUCUGGGGUUAUUGGUGGUUUGCUGUGCCUGCUCCAGGCUCCUGUGUAGAGCUCAAAUCAAUUCAUUUGCAGCUCCAGCCCCAGGGCUGAGGCCAACUCUGCUCUGGAGAUCUCAGAUCCCCUCAGCCACAUCACACAGCUGCGUUCUGCCCUCCUCUCCCCACGUCCACACUUGGUGACAGCCUGUGAGAGAUGGAGGUGGAGGGGUCCUGGGCGGCUGUCCACACACCUGCCCUCCACUCACUGCCCCUUGCCUGGAUGGCCCCUGCCUGUGCCUGGUCACACUCCAGUGGUUGGCCCUGUGUCCCACCGCAGCGUUUAUGUCUGCAGGUGGCUGAGACAGCACUGCCUGCUUCAGCACUUGGCAGAGACCUGCGUGAGGCAGAGGGAGAAGGGACAUUUCUCAGUUUGGGCAUUGAGUGGUCUUGUCUUGAGCCUCUGUAGCCUAGACUGGCCUUGAACUCAUAGCAGUCCUCCUGCCUCAGUUUCCCAAAUUGCCUGCAUAACAGGCAACUGCAGCCAUACCCAGCUGCAGCUCUGUGGACGAUUUCUUGUGGUAUUGUCCAAAAAAGGCAGGAGAAAGAAAAAAAUGCAGCCAAACUGGUGGAACCCGGUAAAACAACACAGUGACUGGAAUGGAUACUGCAUAGCUGUGACCGCAGCACUCAAGAGACAGGGGCAGGUGGAUCUCCACAAGUUCAAGGCUGACCAAGUCUGCAUAGCGAACUCUUCUCAGCCACGACUUCACACUGACACCUGUCUCAAUAAAAUUAAAAAAAA
Molecule: long non-coding RNA, 8926 nt
Organism: Mus musculus (house mouse)
Lineage: Eukaryota; Metazoa; Chordata; Mammalia; Rodentia; Muridae
Product: predicted gene, 32822
Exons: 4
Source: RefSeq, a predicted model, not a curated record